UACACUCCUACGGGAGGCAGCAGUGGGGAAUAUUGCACAAUGGGCGCAAGCCUGAUGCAGCCAUGCCGCGUGUAUGAAGAAGGCCUUCGGGUUGUAAAGUACUUUCAGCGGGGAGGAAGGUGUUGAGGUUAAUAACCUCAGCAAUUGACGUUACCCGCAGAAGAAGCACCGGCUAACUCCGUGCCAGCAGCCGCGGUAAUACGGAGGGUGCAAGCGUUAAUCGGAAUUACUGGGCGUAAAGCGCACGCAGGCGGUCUGUCAAGUCGGAUGUGAAAUCCCCGGGCUCAACCUGGGAACUGCAUUCGAAACUGGCAGGCUAGAGUCUUGUAGAGGGGGGUAGAAUUCCAGGUGUAGCGGUGAAAUGCGUAGAGAUCUGGAGGAAUACCGGUGGCGAAGGCGGCCCCCUGGACAAAGACUGACGCUCAGGUGCGAAAGCGUGGGGAGCAAACAGGAUUAGAUACCCCGGUAGUCCC
Molecule: ribosomal RNA, 473 nt
Filed under: uncultured organism
Description: partial 16S ribosomal RNA
Rfam family: Bacterial small subunit ribosomal RNA
Source: RNAcentral